AAACUUAUGAAAUUUUAAUUCACAUCUUCUGAAUGCAACUCAGAUACUUUUAUUAAGAUAAAGCUU
Molecule: transfer RNA, 66 nt
Filed under: Thoropa miliaris (rock river frog)
Lineage: Eukaryota; Metazoa; Chordata; Amphibia; Anura; Cycloramphidae
Description: tRNA-Ala
Source: RNAcentral